GACGAACGCUGGCGGCGUGCCUAAUACAUGCAAGUCGAGCGCAGGAAGCUGACGGAACUCUUCGGAGGGAAGGCAGUGGAAUGAGCGGCGGACGGGUGAGUAACACGUAAGGAACCUGCCUCAAGGAUUGGGAUAACUCCGAGAAAUCGGAGCUAAUACCGGAUAGUUCAACGGACCGCAUGGUCCGCUGAUGAAAGGCGCUUCGGCGUCACCUUGAGAUGGCCUUGCGGUGCAUUAGCUAGUUGGUGAGGUAACGGCCCACCAAGGCGACGAUGCAUAGCCGACCUGAGAGGGUGAUCGGCCACACUGGGACUGAGACACGGCCCAGACUCCUACGGGAGGCAGCAGUAGGGAAUCUUCCACAAUGGACGAAAGUCUGAUGGAGCAACGCCGCGUGAGUGAUGAAGGUUUUCGGAUCGUAAAACUCUGUUGUAAGGGAAGAACACGUACGAGAGGAAAUGCUCGUACCUUGACGGUACCUUACGAGAAAGCCACGGCUAACUACGUGCCAGCCGCCGCCGUAA
RNAcentral lists this ribosomal RNA (524 nucleotides) under uncultured bacterium. RNAcentral's name for it is "partial 16S ribosomal RNA". It matches the Rfam family "Bacterial small subunit ribosomal RNA", at positions 28 to 523 of the family's 1533-position model. The record is from RNAcentral.